Molecule: long non-coding RNA, 816 nt
Organism: Ailuropoda melanoleuca (giant panda)
Lineage: Eukaryota; Metazoa; Chordata; Mammalia; Carnivora; Ursidae
Exons: 3
Source: RefSeq, a predicted model, not a curated record
UGCAUGGACAGGAAGAGCAGGGAUGCAGAGAGGGCACUUAACUAUCGUGACAAAGAGGAAGUCCCGAAAAUACAUCUCAACCUGCAUGAAGACAAAGCAAAGGGACCAGAGAGGACACAUAGAGUGGCCCCAAGAGAAACACCCAUAAGGCGCGCGCACACACACACACACAGUGGCUCACCACCGCCAGACACAAAUAGGGGGCAGAGAAGGACAGACAGACGCAGGAGACACGCACAUCCGGGCAAAACACAUAAACACACUUAGCACCCAUGAGCUUUACACCCAUGGGACACACAGACCCAACCCCGUACAGAUGAACUGCAGAAGCAGACGGCAGCAACGCACGCAGUUGCCACAAGUGAACGGGCAGUCGUAGACACAAGAUACAACCAGAGCCAUUACACAUCUGUGCCACAGGCCAGCCAGGGAAAGAGACACCUGUUGCCAGAGGCCUUGGCCUGCAUGGCUAUGGGGAGCCGUGUUCCCACCGCCCCCACGAGACCCUGGAGCGCUGCUGACCGGCCCUUGCUUCCUCCCCGGCUCUGAGGGACUCCUCCGGGAAGUGCUUCUCUUCCUGUCGUUGCCCGUCUGUCUACACCUCCCAGGGCCCCCGAAUAAGUACAGAAUGCACCACUGAGGAAAGAGUAAAGGAACAAAGCAACAAAAGGGUGGAUUCGACAAACGUCUGCGGAACGCCACCUGUGUGCCGGCUCUGUUCUAGGGCCGGGAGGCAGCAGCGAACAAGACAGAACAAAAUUCCUGCCUAGUGAAGCUCGUUAUUUCUAAGGAAUGAUGAAUCAAUCUUUCAAUUCU